AUCGCCCUUCCUGACAGCAGCUCUGCUAGAAUGCUGAGAGCUGAAGCCAGACACGGUGAGCCCAAACGUGAACGGGGGACAAGAGCACAGCAUCCAUAAAGGCAUCUGGGUUGCUGGAAAACUGCUGGAGAUGUCUCAUUUUUAAAUAAUAAUUACCGUGAGCCGUUUGCAAGGACCUUCGCACUUAUGACCUCACUGCAUCCGGUCUCCAGCCAGUGCUUAUUGAAUGAGUGCCCACGUGAUCAUGCACUGUGCUCUGUGCAACAGGCACAUUGCCACAUUUUCUGCCGCCAAGAUGCUCCCGCCUCAGGGCCAUCAAAGCCAGAGCCAGACUUGUGCACAGCCCAGCGUCCGGAAGUGCCUGGUGCUCUACCGUUCUGCCCUCACAGUGAGCACCGCCUCAUCUAAUUUUCCCAAAACUCAGCGAGCUGCCGUUGUUCCAGCAUAUAGACCAGUCAACUGGAACUCAGAGACCUGUGCUACUUGCCCCUAGGUCACACAGUCAGAAAGCAAUAGAACUGGGAUUUAGGUCAGGUCUGCCUGGCCCCAGAGCUGGCUAGUGCCUUAUUGCCCCUUCUGCAUAUCCCUGAUGGUGGGAAUGGGAAUGCAGUGAUUCAAGCUUAUCCCAAGAGGGAAUUGACUCCUGGCUCUUCUGCUUUGUGAGACGGUGUUGUGAUUCUGGACUCCUGAACACCCUGGAUUGCUUAACCACGUUCUAGUGGUGAGAACUAGGGCAAGUCACUUUACUCCUCCUCAGAUAGAAUGAGAGAUAGCACCUCCCUAGCAGAGAUGUUGUGAAAAUCAAGAGCUAGAAUACAAAACAUUCGAGAAUGCACCAGGUCGUCUGUAAAGGAUUGUUUCAAUAAAUGACUCAUGAUUUCUUAAUCCAGAUGUUAAUUAUUAUAUUGUUUACACUAUUUUAUUAUAAGCCUUCUCGAAUACUGUGAUUAAAUGGAUAGUCUAUAUAUAUAUAUAUAUAAAAUAAAUGUAUGAAUAAUUAAAAUAUUUUAUUGGAUUUUUGUAUCUAACCUCUUACCAAAAGAGAGGAAGUUGAUUUAUAGCUUAUAAUAAAUAUCAUGGUAUAAUUCCUUUCAUCUAGAAAAAAAAUCACUGUUGUCAUCUUAACACAUGACACAAUAACAUUGAACACAUGCCAGGUGCUGGGCUAAGAAUUCUAAUCUCCAUUAUCUCAUUUAAUUCUUCAAGAGCGAGGCACUGUUGUCAUCUCCAUCUUACAGAUGUGGAGACAGAGGCCCGUAGCAUCUCAGGAAUUUGACCAAGUUCAUACAUACACUUACUAAGUGAGAAAUAACAAGAUUUUACAAGUACGCAUGAAUGUAUUUGAUAUUACUUUAUACCACCUCUGUCAAAAUGAAACUUUCAGGGGCCAGAGCUGUGGCAUAGCAGGUAAAGCCGCCGCCUUCAGUGCCGGCAUCCCAUAUGGGCGCCAGUUGAAACCCAGAUGUUCCACUUCUGAUCAAGCUCUCUGCCAUGGCCUGGGAAAGGAAUAGAAGAUGGCCCAAGUCCUUGGGCCUCUGUGCCCAGGUGGGAGACCCGGAAGAAGCUCCUGGCUUCAUAUCGGCGCAGCUUUGGCCAUUGCAGCCAUCUGGCAAGUGAAUCGGCAGAUGAAAGAUCUCUCUCUUUCUCUCUGCCUCUGCCUCUCUGUAAC
Non-coding RNA from Oryctolagus cuniculus (rabbit), 1669 nucleotides. The record is from RefSeq and is a predicted model, not a curated record. Lineage: Eukaryota; Metazoa; Chordata; Mammalia; Lagomorpha; Leporidae.